GGCCUGGUGAAGCCCUCACAGACCCUCUCCCUCACCUGUGCUGUCUCUGGAUUCCCCAUCACAACCAGUGCUUCCUGCUGUAGCUGCAUUCAUAAACCCCCCAGGAAGGGACUGGAGUGAAUCCGGUGCACAGGUCAUGAGGGAGUGCACAUUCCAACCCACUCCUCAAGAGUCCAGUCACCAUCUCCAGAUCCAUGUCCAAAAAGCAGUUCUUCCUACAGCCGAGCUAAGUGAGCCGCAAGCACACAGCCAUGU
Molecule: long non-coding RNA, 255 nt
Filed under: Homo sapiens (human)
Lineage: Eukaryota; Metazoa; Chordata; Mammalia; Primates; Hominidae
Description: non-protein coding lnc-BRF1-53:1
Source: RNAcentral